AGAGCGAACGCUGGCGGCAGGCCUAACACAUGCAAGUCGGGCGCCCGUAGCAAUACGGGAGCGGCAGACGGGAUAGUAACACGUGGGAACGCGCCCUUCGGUUCGGAAUAACUCAGGGAAACUUGAGCUAAAUACCGGAUACGCCCUUACGGGGAAAGAUUUAUUGCCGAAGGAACGGCCCGCGUCCGAUUAGCUAGUUGGUGAGGUAAUGGCUCACCAAGGCGACGAUCGGUAGCUGGUCUGAGAGGAUGACCAGCAUCACUGGGACUGAGACACGGCCCAGACUCCUACGGGAGGCAGCAGUGGGGAAUAUUGGACAAUGGGCGCAAGCCUGAUCCAGCCAUGCCGCGUGGAUGAUGAAGGCCUUAGGGUUGUAAAGUCCUUUUAACGGGGAAGAUAAUGACGGUACCGUAGAAUAAGCCCCGGCUAACUUCGUGCCAGCAGCCGC
Molecule: ribosomal RNA, 448 nt
Filed under: uncultured bacterium
Lineage: Bacteria
Description: SSU rRNA
Rfam family: Bacterial small subunit ribosomal RNA
Source: RNAcentral